This is a long non-coding RNA of Etheostoma cragini (Arkansas darter), 335 nucleotides long. RefSeq lists it as uncharacterized. The record is from RefSeq and is a predicted model, not a curated record. The transcript is spliced from 2 exons. Lineage: Eukaryota; Metazoa; Chordata; Actinopteri; Perciformes; Percidae.
CGCAGUGUGCUGUGUGUGUGUGUGUUUUUGUGUGUGUCUGUGUGUGUGUGUGUGUGUGUGUGUGUGUGUGUGUGUGUGUGUUAGCACAGGCCUGAAUGUCAGCCUUGUCUCUGCGUCUACGCUGUUCACCAUACUCCCAGAGUAGAGGAAAGGUCAGAGUUUCCCCCCCAGCAUGUGGAUGAGAAAGCAAGCAGCGUGCUGAGUUUAAGGUUAGAUAUGGAACACAGUGGGCUUAUCCACCGCACUGAGAAAAAAAAAUAUGACAUGUUGACUAUUACUGAUUCAGGUCAGAAGGAAGAAACCAAGUGUCUAUAGGAACGAAGUGUAUUUUGUAC